CUUCUAACCAUAGCCAAAAUCGGCGAUACGGCUUGAUUUUGGUCGGUGGUUAGAGUCA
Molecule: microRNA precursor, 58 nt
Filed under: Heligmosomoides polygyrus
Lineage: Eukaryota; Metazoa; Nematoda; Chromadorea; Rhabditida; Heligmosomidae
Description: microRNA hpo-mir-5932 precursor
Source: miRBase by way of RNAcentral